UGAGGAAUAUUGGUCAAUGGGAGGAAUCCUGAACCAGCCAUGCCGCGUGCAGGACGACGGCUCUACGAGUUGUAAACUGCUUUUGUACCGGGGUAAAAUGCUCUACCGAGUAGGGUUUUG
Molecule: ribosomal RNA, 120 nt
Filed under: uncultured bacterium
Lineage: Bacteria
Description: partial 16S ribosomal RNA
Rfam family: Bacterial small subunit ribosomal RNA
Source: RNAcentral